CAGGUUUACCUGUGUGACUGCGUACCUUUUGUAUAAUGGGUCAGCGACUUAUAUUCUGUAGCAAGGUUAACCGUAUAGGGGAGCCGGAGGGAAACCGAGUCUUAAUUGGGCGUUAAGUUGCAGGGUAUAGACCCGAAACCCGGUGAUCUAGCCAUGGGCAGGUUGAAGGUUGGGUAACACUAACUGGAGGACCGAACCGACUAAUGUUGAAAAAUUAGCGGAUGACCUGUGGCUGGGGGUGAAAGGCCAAUCAAACCGGGAGAUAGCUGGUUCUCCCCGAAAGCUAUUUAGGUAGCGCCUCGUGAAUUCAUCUCCGGGGGUAGAGCACUGUUUCGGCUAGGGGGCCAUCCCGGCUUACCAACCCGAUGCAAACUGCGAAUACCGGAGAAUGUUAUCACGGGAGACACACGGCGGGUGCUAACGUCCGUCGUGAAGAGGGAAACAACCCAGACCGCCAGCUAAGGUCCCAAAGUCAUGGUUAAGUGGGAAACGAUGUGGGAAGGCCCAGACAGCCAGGAUGUUGGCUUAGAAGCAGCCAUCAUUUAAAGAAAGCGUAAUAGCUCACUGGUCGAGUCGGCCUGCGCGGAAGAUGUAACGGGGCUAAACCAUGCACCGAAGCUGCGGCAGCGAACGUAUCACCCAAGACAACUUUACGGAGUUGACGAUUGACGGAGCGAAGCGACGUCAAAGCGUUCAUUAAAGUCGAGUUGGCUUAGGGAUACGUUCGUUGGGUAGGGGAGCGUUCUGUAAGCCUGUGAAGGUGUGUCGUGAGGCAUGCUGGAGGUAUCAGAAGUGCGAAUGCUGACAUAAGUAACGAUAAAGCGGGUGAAAAGCCCGCUCGCCGGAAGACCAAGGGUUCCUGUCCAACGUUAAUCGGGGCAGGGUGAGUCGACCCCUAAGGCGAGGCCGAAAGGCGUAGUCGAUGGGAAACGGGUUAAUAUUCCCGUACUUGGUGUUACUGCGAAGGGGGGACGGAGAAGGCUAUGUUGGCCGGGCGACGGUUGUCCCGGUUUAAGCGUGUAGGUGUGUGUUCCAGGUAAAUCCGGUUCACUUUAACACUGAGGCGUGACGACGAGGCACUACGGUGCUGAAGCAACAAAUGCCCUGCUUCCAGGAAAAGCCUCUAAGCAUCAGGUAACAUCAAAUCGUACCCCAAACCGACACAGGUGGUCAGGUAGAGAAUACCAAGGCGCUUGAGAGAACUCGGGUGAAGGAACUAGGCAAAAUGGUGCCGUAACUUCGGGAGAAGGCACGCUGACACGUAGGUGAAGUGAUUUACUCAUGGAG
This 1287-nucleotide ribosomal RNA is filed under the name Salmonella enterica subsp. enterica serovar Typhimurium. RNAcentral's name for it is "partial 23S ribosomal RNA". It matches the Rfam family "Bacterial large subunit ribosomal RNA", at positions 580 to 1772 of the family's 2925-position model. The record is from RNAcentral. Lineage: Bacteria; Pseudomonadati; Pseudomonadota; Gammaproteobacteria; Enterobacterales; Enterobacteriaceae.